GGGUAUGUCCCAAAAUCAGUCUUGAAGAUGACAUGUUAGGAGUGUGUGCUGAGUUGUGUUCCCAAGACGGUCACUGUCCAGAUGAUGAGAAAUGCUGCAGCAAUGGAUGUGGACAUCAGUGUAUGGCUCCAUCUAAAGUUAAACCAGGAGUGUGUCCAAGGAAAGUACUUGGAAAAGGAUUGUGUAAAGAGUUGUGUGUCGACGACAUUGACUGUCCGAACGAUGAGAAGUGUUGCAGCACUAAAUGUGGACAUGAAUGUACACCUCCAUUUAAAGUGAGGUCUGGUG
Molecule: long non-coding RNA, 288 nt
Organism: Cyprinus carpio (common carp)
Lineage: Eukaryota; Metazoa; Chordata; Actinopteri; Cypriniformes; Cyprinidae
Exons: 3
Source: RefSeq, a predicted model, not a curated record